Molecule: ribosomal RNA, 437 nt
Filed under: uncultured bacterium
Lineage: Bacteria
Description: bacterial SSU rRNA
Rfam family: Bacterial small subunit ribosomal RNA
Source: RNAcentral
UCGAGGAUCUUCGGCAAUGGGCGCAAGCCUGACCGAGCGACGCCGCGUGCGCGAUGAAGGCCUUCGGGUUGUAAAGCGCUGUCGAGGGGGAGGAAAGCCGGGUAACCGGCCUGACCUAUCCCUGGAGGAAGCACGGGCUAAGUUCGUGCCAGCAGCCGCGGUAAGACGAACCGUGCGAACGUUGUUCGGAUUCACUGGGCUUAAAGGGCGCGUAGGCGGCUUGCCAAGUCAGGGGUGAAAUCGUUCGGCCCAACCGGACAAGUGCCCCUGAUACUGGCAGGCUCGAGGGAGGUAGGGGCAUGCGGAACUUCCGGUGGAGCGGUGAAAUGCGUAGAUAUCGGAAGGAACGCCGGUGGCGAAAGCGGCGUGCUGGACCUCGCCUGACGCUGAUGCGCGAAAGCCAGGGGAGCAAACGGGAUUAGAUACCCCCGUAGUCC